GGCUCUGUGGCGCAAUGGAUAGCG
RNAcentral lists this non-coding RNA (24 nucleotides) under Danio rerio (zebrafish). Lineage: Eukaryota; Metazoa; Chordata; Actinopteri; Cypriniformes; Danionidae. The record is from RNAcentral. RNAcentral also lists the same sequence under 3 other names.